RNAcentral lists this ribosomal RNA (485 nucleotides) under uncultured bacterium. RNAcentral describes it as "bacterial SSU rRNA". It matches the Rfam family "Bacterial small subunit ribosomal RNA", at positions 30 to 517 of the family's 1533-position model. The record is from RNAcentral.
AUUGAACGCUGGCGGAAUGCUUUACACAUGCAAGUCGAACGGUAGAGGGGGCAACCCCUUGAGAGUGGCGAACGGGUGAGUAAUAUAUCGGAACGUGCCCAGUCGUGGGGGAUAACGUAGUGAAAAUUACGCUAAUACCGCAUACGAUCUAAGGAUGAAAGCGGGGGAUCGCAAGACCUCGUGCGAUUGGAGCGGCCGAUAUCAGAUUAGGUAGUUGGUAGGGUAAAGGCCUACCAAGCCAACGAUCUGUAGCUGGUCUGAGAGGACGACCAGCCACACUGGAACUGAGACACGGUCCAGACUCCUACGGGAGGCAGCAGUAAGGAAUAUUGGGCAAUGGACGGAAGUCUGACCCAGCCAUCCCGCGUGCAGGACGAAUGCCCUAUGGGUUGUAAACUGCUUUUAUUCGGGAAUAAACCUAUCUACGUGUAGAUAGCUGAAUGUACCGAAGGAAUAAGGAUCGGCUAACUCCGUGCCAGCAGCCG